CCUACGGGUGGCAGCAGUGGGGGAUAUUGGACAAUGGGGGAAACCCUGAUCCAGCGAUGCCGCGUGAGGGAAGAAGGUUUUCGGAUUGUAAACCUCUGUGGAGGGGGACGAUAAUGACGGUACCCCUUUAGGAAGCCACGGCUAACUACGUGCCAGCAGCCGCGGUAAUACGUAGGUGGCGAGCGUUGUCCGGAAUUACUGGGUGUAAAGGGAGUGUAGGCGGGAAAGCAAGUCAGAAGUGAAAACUAUGGGCUUAACCCAUAGCUUGCUUUUGAAACUGUUUUUCUUGAGUGAAGUAGAGGAAGGCGGAAUUCGUGGGGUGGGGGGGAAAUGAGUAGAUAUUAGGAGGAACACCAGUGGGGAAGGCGGCUUGUGGGGCUUUUACGGACGCUGAGGCUCGAAAGCGUGGGGAGCAAACAGGAGUAGAUACCCUAGUAGUC
This 440-nucleotide ribosomal RNA is filed under the name uncultured bacterium. RNAcentral describes it as "partial 16S ribosomal RNA". It matches the Rfam family "Bacterial small subunit ribosomal RNA", at positions 338 to 795 of the family's 1533-position model. The record is from RNAcentral.